UACGGAUGGUGCGAGCGUUAAUCGGAAUAACUGGGCGUAAAGGGCACGCAGGCGGGCUUUUAGGUGAGAUGUGAAAUCCCCGGGCUUAACCUGGGAAUAGCAUUUCAGACUGGGAGUCUAGAGUACUUUAGGGAGGGGUAGAAUUCCAAGUGUAGCGGUGAAAUGCUUAGAGAUGUGGAGGAAUACCGAAGGCGAAGGCAGCUCCUUGGGAAGGUACUGACGCUCAUGUGCGAAAGCGUGGGGAGCAAACAGG
This 253-nucleotide ribosomal RNA is filed under the name uncultured bacterium. RNAcentral's name for it is "partial 16S ribosomal RNA". It matches the Rfam family "Bacterial small subunit ribosomal RNA", at positions 524 to 776 of the family's 1533-position model. The record is from RNAcentral.